This 20-nucleotide non-coding RNA is filed under the name Rattus norvegicus (Norway rat). The record is from RNAcentral. Lineage: Eukaryota; Metazoa; Chordata; Mammalia; Rodentia; Muridae.
UUCUGAAAGUUUGAUUCUAU